GGCGAACGCUGGCGGCGUGCCUAAUACAUGCAAGUAGAACGCUGAAGAGAGGAGCUUGCUCUUCUUGGAUGAGUUGCGAACGGGUGAGUAACGCGUAGGUAACCUGCCUUGUAGCGGGGGAUAACUAUUGGAAACGAUAGCUAAUACCGCAUAACAAUGGAUGACACAUGUCAUUUAUUUGAAAGGGGCAAUUGCUCCACUACAAGAUGGACCUGCGUUGUAUUAGCUAGUAGGUGAGGUAAUGGCUCACCUAGGCGACGAUACAUAGCCGACCUGAGAGGGUGAUCGGCCACACUGGGACUGAGACACGGCCCAGACUCCUACGGGAGGCAGCAGUAGGGAAUCUUCGGCAAUGGGGGCAACCCUGACCGAGCAACGCCGCGUGAGUGAAGAAGGUUUUCGGAUCGUAAAGCUCUGUUGUAAGUCAAGAACGGGUGUGAGAGUGGAAAGUUCACGCUGUGACGGUAGCUUACCAGAAAGGGACGGCUAACUACGUG
Molecule: ribosomal RNA, 497 nt
Filed under: uncultured bacterium
Lineage: Bacteria
Description: partial 16S ribosomal RNA
Rfam family: Bacterial small subunit ribosomal RNA
Source: RNAcentral